RNAcentral lists this ribosomal RNA (198 nucleotides) under uncultured bacterium. RNAcentral's name for it is "partial 16S ribosomal RNA". It matches the Rfam family "Bacterial small subunit ribosomal RNA", at positions 328 to 539 of the family's 1533-position model. The record is from RNAcentral.
ACGCUCGACACCUACGGAGGCAGCAGUGGGGAAUAUUGCGCAAUGGGGGCAACCCUGACGCAGCAACGCCGCGUGAUUGAAGAAGGCCUUCGAGUUGUAAAGAUCUUUAAUCAGGGACGAAAAAUGACGGUACCUGAAGAAUAAGCUCCGGCUAACUACGUGCCAGCAGCCGCGGUAAUCUGAGCGGGCUGGCAAGGC